Molecule: ribosomal RNA, 226 nt
Filed under: uncultured bacterium
Lineage: Bacteria
Description: partial 16S ribosomal RNA
Rfam family: Bacterial small subunit ribosomal RNA
Source: RNAcentral
CGCGUAGGUAACCUGCCUGGUAGCGGGGGGUAACUAUUGGAAACGAUAGCUAAUACCGCAUAAUAUUAAUUAUUGCAUGAUAAUUAAAUUGAAAGGUGCAAUUGCACCACUACCAGAUGGACCUGCGUUGUAUUAGCUAGUAGGUGAGGUAACGGCUCACCUAGGCGACGAUACAUAGCCGACCUGAGAGGGUGAUCGGCCACACUGGGACUGAGACACGGCCCAG